CGGUUAGACUAAAGGACCUAAUUAUGUGAUUAAGGUAAAAAGGUGGUUAAAUAUUAAAUAUGAAUAGCUUUCUAACUUUUUAUAAAAAAGUGAAAUUUGAAUAUAAGUAAGUAAAUCAAAAAUGGCUAUUAGCGCGUUGAACCCACUAUAACUUUGAGGGAAACUGGGAUUUGAUACCCCAUUAUUCUUAGUUGUAAAUAAAUAUUAAAUUUACCAGAGCACUAUGAACGUUAUAAAAAUUUAAAACUCAAAGAGCUUGGCGGUGUUUUAGACCACUUAGGGGAACCUGUCUCAUAAUCGAUAAUCCACGGUAUACCUAACCUUUAAUUGCAUUACAGCUUGUACACCGUUGUCAUCAGGUAACUUUUUAGAAAAUUUAAGUUAGCAACAAAAUUUAUUAAUAAAUUUAAAUGUCAAAUCAAGGUGCAGCCAAUGAAAAGGGGAGGAUGGGUUACAAUUAAAACUUAUAAAAUGGAUCAAACAAUGAAACUUGUUUGUGAAGGAGGACUUAAAAGUAAAGUUAUGUAUAAAGAUAUCUUGAAUUAGGCUCUGAAAUGUGUACAAACCCCCC
This 571-nucleotide ribosomal RNA is filed under the name Aphera tessellata. Its description in RNAcentral is "partial 12S ribosomal RNA". The stretch from base 226 to 571 matches the Rfam family "Microsporidia small subunit ribosomal RNA", at positions 752 to 1197 of the family's 1311-position model. Lineage: Eukaryota; Metazoa; Mollusca; Gastropoda; Neogastropoda; Cancellariidae. The record is from RNAcentral.